This 253-nucleotide ribosomal RNA is filed under the name uncultured bacterium. RNAcentral describes it as "partial 16S ribosomal RNA". It matches the Rfam family "Bacterial small subunit ribosomal RNA", at positions 524 to 776 of the family's 1533-position model. The record is from RNAcentral.
UACGGAGGGGGCUAGCGUUGUUCGGAAUUACUGGGCGUAAAGCGCACGUAGGCGGCUUUGUAAGUUAGAGGUGAAAGCCCAGGGCUUAACCCUGGAAUUGCCUUUAAGACUGCAUCGCUUGAAUCGUGGAGAGGUGAGUGGAAUUCCGAGUGUAGAGGUGAAAUUCGUAGAUAUUCGCAAGAACACCAGUGGCGAAGGCGGCUCACUGGCCCGAUACUGACGCUGAGGCACGAAAGCGUGGGGAGCAAACAGG